AAUGAACGCUGGCGGCAGGCCUAAAACAUGCAAGUCGAACGCCCUAGCAAUAGGGAGUGGCGCACGGGUGAGUAACAUGUGGGAAUAUGCCUUUUGGUACGGAACAACGUUUGGAAACGAACGCUAAUACCGUAUAGUCCCUUCGGGGUAAAGAUUUAUCGCCAAAAGAUUAGCCCGCACUGGAUUAGCUAGUUGGUAAGGUAAUGGCUUACCAAGGCGACGAUCCAUAGCUGGUCUGAGAGGACGAUCAGCCACACUGGGACUGAGACACGGCCCAGACUCCUACGGGAGGCAGCAGUUAGGAAUAUUGGACAAUGGGCGCAAGCCUGAUCCAGCCAUGCCGCGUGAGUGAUGAAGGCCUUCGGGUUGGUAAAACUACUUUAAGUCCGAUGAAUAUAA
This 399-nucleotide ribosomal RNA is filed under the name uncultured bacterium. Its description in RNAcentral is "bacterial SSU rRNA". It matches the Rfam family "Bacterial small subunit ribosomal RNA", at positions 29 to 454 of the family's 1533-position model. The record is from RNAcentral.